GAGGGUGUAGCUCAGUGAUGGAGCACAUGCUUAGCAUGCACGAGAUCCUGGGUUCCAUCCCCAGUACCUCCA
RNAcentral lists this transfer RNA (72 nucleotides) under Camelus bactrianus (Bactrian camel). It matches the Rfam family "tRNA". From Rfam's summary of the family: Transfer RNA (tRNA) molecules are approximately 80 nucleotides in length. The record is from Rfam by way of RNAcentral. Lineage: Eukaryota; Metazoa; Chordata; Mammalia; Artiodactyla; Camelidae. RNAcentral also lists the same sequence under 3 other names.